AUGAUCUGUUGAUAACAAAUUAAAGCCACUGUACCAAGCCAUUAGUUCACUUUGUUACUUCCAGCUUUCCAGUUAUCAAAAAAAUGGAGUAAGGUCUUGAAGACUAAGACCUGGGAUGGGUAACUUCUGCUGAGCUGACAGUCUGGUACAGCAGGAGACCCAGAUGUCAGGUGGGACUGAAGAAACUGGACAACUUGUGGAUAGAAUGAGGGCCUCGUGGAUAAAUUUGAGGAUAAGAAAAAAAAAUACUGUGAAUGUGUACAUUAUCUACUAUAUAUAUACGUAAAAGACAAAGUGUGCAAAUUAUGGAUACAUUUAUAGAAAUUGCUAAAAAUGGUAAUGUAGAUCUAUAUUUAUUGAAACGGAAAGAUGCAGAAGAUGGAUUUCUGUGUGAAAAAUAGUUCAUUUAAAAAACUAUAUUCUCUGUGAAUUUGAAGACUCUGCAUUCCAAGUACUGUUGAAUUUCUCUGAGUGCUGAAUACAGUUAAUUUUUAUGCUCUUUUAUUUACCUUUUUAUGGAAACUAAAUUUUUUUUUUACAAUGAGAAGUCAAUAUUUUACCAUCGCAAACAGCAAUAAAACUCUUCCGUUAUAAUAAGAGGGAGUGCAGGUUGCAGAGGGGAGGCGAGGAUGGUGGCAGUUGCUGGAUGCAGGAAGGGACCAAACAGAGCAAGUGUGAGAAGGUGUUGCAUGGAAAGCAAGGCAUUAGCCCAGGGCCGUAGAAGAAAGAGAAAUGAGAGAGGGGCGGCAAGAAUGGCUAAGCCCCUGAAGGCACUGCCUGACCUUGUACCAGGCCUGUGAAACGACACGUUCCCAACAAGGAAGUAACCGGACUCGCAAGGGCUCUUCAUGUAUCCAGGUAUUUACAAGGGUAGCUAAAUGCAGCCGUUACAGUUUCCUUGGAAAGUCACCACCCAUCCUCUCUCUGUGUGAUUUCUCAACUUUGCCCAGAAUAAAUAGCUGCAAAUAGAAGUGGGAGUUUGCCUG
This 986-nucleotide long non-coding RNA is filed under the name Sus scrofa (pig). RNAcentral describes it as "lncRNA (ENSSSCG00030044715.1)". Lineage: Eukaryota; Metazoa; Chordata; Mammalia; Artiodactyla; Suidae. The record is from RNAcentral.